UACGGGGGGAGCAAGCGUUGUUCGGAUUUACUGGGCGUAAAGGGCGCGUAGGCGGUCGUGACAAGUCACUUGUGAAAUCUCCGGGCUUAACUCGGAAAGGUCAAGUGAUACUGUCGGACUAGAGUACAGAAGGGGCAACUGGAAUUCUCGGUGUAGCGGUGAAAUGCGUAGAUAUCAGGAGGAACACCUAUUGCGAAGGCAGCUCGCUGGGACGUAACUGACGCUGAGACGCGAAAGCGUGGGGAGCAAACAGG
This 254-nucleotide ribosomal RNA is filed under the name uncultured bacterium. Its description in RNAcentral is "partial 16S ribosomal RNA". It matches the Rfam family "Bacterial small subunit ribosomal RNA", at positions 524 to 776 of the family's 1533-position model. The record is from RNAcentral.